This 71-nucleotide transfer RNA is filed under the name Acontias meleagris (Linnaeus' lance skink). RNAcentral describes it as "tRNA-Ile". It matches the Rfam family "tRNA". Rfam says of the family: Transfer RNA (tRNA) molecules are approximately 80 nucleotides in length. Their secondary structure includes four short double-helical elements and three loops (D, anti-codon, and T loops). Further hydrogen bonds mediate the characteristic L-shaped molecular structure. tRNAs have two regions of fundamental functional importance: the anti-codon, which is responsible for specific mRNA codon recognition, and the 3' end, to which the tRNAs corresponding amino acid is attached (by aminoacyl-tRNA synthetases). tRNAs cope with the degeneracy of the genetic code in two manners: having more than one tRNA (with a specific anti-codon) for a particular amino acid; and 'wobble' base-pairing, i.e. permitting non-standard base-pairing at the 3rd anti-codon position. Lineage: Eukaryota; Metazoa; Chordata; Lepidosauria; Squamata; Scincidae. The record is from RNAcentral.
GGAAGUGUGCCCGAAUUACUAAAGACUACUUUGAUAGAGUACGACACAGGGGUUCAAAUCCCCUCACUUCC